GAGGGUAUAGUGCAGUGGUAGAGUGCAUGCCUAGCAAGCAUGAGGUCCUGGGUUCAAUCCCCAGCACCUACA
This 72-nucleotide transfer RNA is filed under the name Camelus bactrianus (Bactrian camel). It matches the Rfam family "tRNA". Rfam says of the family: Transfer RNA (tRNA) molecules are approximately 80 nucleotides in length. Lineage: Eukaryota; Metazoa; Chordata; Mammalia; Artiodactyla; Camelidae. The record is from Rfam by way of RNAcentral. RNAcentral also lists the same sequence under 2 other names.